UACGUAGGGUGCGAGCGUUAAUCGGAAUUACUGGGCGUAAAGCGUGCGCAGGCGGUUUUGUAAGCCAGAUGUGAAAUCCCCGGGCUUAACCUGGGAAUGGCCAUGGAAACUGGCGAGCUGGAGUGUGGCAGAGGGGGGUGGAAUUCCGCGUGUAGCAGUGAAAUGCGUAGAGAUGCGGAGGAACACCGAUGGCGAAGGCAGCCCCCUGGGCUAACACUGACGCUGAGGCACGAAAGCGUGGGGAGCAAACAGG
This 253-nucleotide ribosomal RNA is filed under the name uncultured bacterium. Its description in RNAcentral is "partial 16S ribosomal RNA". It matches the Rfam family "Bacterial small subunit ribosomal RNA", at positions 524 to 776 of the family's 1533-position model. The record is from RNAcentral.